Molecule: long non-coding RNA, 1365 nt
Organism: Nasonia vitripennis (jewel wasp)
Lineage: Eukaryota; Metazoa; Arthropoda; Insecta; Hymenoptera; Pteromalidae
Exons: 4
Source: RefSeq, a predicted model, not a curated record
UCUCUCUCUCUAUCUCUCUCUCUCAUUCUCUCUAAAUCUCUCUCCUUCGUCUCUUUCGCUGCCUGCUACUCGCGUUCGGCUCGCGCCCGGUUCCGCGAAUCGUAUCUCGCGCGCGUCGAAACGUGCAAGUCGGUAGAACUGCGCUACCGACUUGAGUCUGUGGAACUGCGCCACUGACACGAAGCGAAGAUUCUCUCUGAGAAUCGCACGAACUCGACACACACACGAACACGACACACAUUCUUCUUUUUCUUCGCAGCUUGUAAAAUAUUCGAGAGGGGUUUUAUGCCUCACGGCUUUCCCCUCUCAAUUUGAGCGCGAUUAAAUACUCUCGAUUUUCGCUCAAUCGACUUCUUUAUUUCUCCCACACCUCACUCCUUGCGAACUCGAACACACACGUAAAAAGCGGGAAUAUUCGCCUCAGAAUAUUUCGCGCGCGACAAUUCAUAUAUUAUUAUGGCUAUUCUUUCACGACUACCGAAUUUAUAGCAGCCUGCCAGUUUCGCGACUUACACGAAAUAAGCGGCGAAUAUCGAUGUUGUUAUCGCGUUGAUAAUAAUUCUGAUUAUUGUUUAUUACAAUAACUUGCAACUUUAUUAACAUCAACAGCUGCUCGCAGUACAUAAGGACACAAUUAGCUAUGACUUGUAACAAGUGUUCGUGGUCGAGUGGUAAAGUGCCAGCCUGCUAACUGAAAGGUUCAGGGUUCAAUCCCCGCUCGGAUAUCGUUUCAAAUAACAACUCCUGGUGCACGAGCUGUCCUUGCCUACAUCCACCAGCAGAGGCUGAUAGGAAGCGGGUCCAGGAAGCUGUACCUGCAGCAUCAUCGCAGAUACUUCUUUCAUCUUUCUUUUCUUUCCCUUUUCUUAAUUAUUUACUUUCCUUUUUCAACUAUUAUAACAAUAGAUGUGAACUCUCUUCUCUUAUUUCUGAAAUAAUUUCUCUUUGUCGAGGUACCAUCAUCUUCUUGGGGAUUGCUGAACGAAGCUGCUCUUCUUCUGGAACAUCUAGCUGUCCAUGUAACUUCAAAAAAACAAGUUCAAAGUUACACCAACAAAAAAGGUUCAAAACUUAGAAGUUCAACGAAACACCAAGGCCAUCAAGGUACUCUGCACUUCUGGACUGGGAAACUGCAGCUUACAGGACAUUCGCAGUCAAUCUCUUUGUUAGCAGUUCCUUUAUAAAGGUUUGCUCAUCAACCGGAAAAUCCACGGCUGCAGUGAAAUUAACACUCACUACAACAAUUUUGGCCAAAUCAUCUCUCAGGCAUUGUAAGGGUAUUGUCAUCUCUUGAGAGCAACAUAUUUUGGUUGUAUUUGUUACAUUAAUUUAUAUCUUUAAAUUUUUCUUUUUAUUGGUUUUUUA